GCGGAAUUUCACGGUCAAACCAAACCUUCUCAAGAUACAACCUUCCUCCAAAUAAAAAUGAAACAUCCACUCAUUUCCACAUAGGAAUGAGAUCAUAAAAUCCAAAUUUGAGCAAUACUCACAAAAAAUAUAAAAACAAAUAAACUUUUUCCCAAAUGAAACAAGAAAAGAAAGAAUGAAAGGAACUGUUAAGAGAAAAAUCCAACUUACUCGUCAACAUGCCCAACCACCAG
This 233-nucleotide unclassified non-coding RNA is filed under the name Hevea brasiliensis (rubber tree). Lineage: Eukaryota; Viridiplantae; Streptophyta; Magnoliopsida; Malpighiales; Euphorbiaceae. The record is from RNAcentral.